GUUGAUCAUGGCUCAGGAUGAACGCUGGCGGCGUGCCUAAUACAUGCAAGUCGAACGAGAGUGCUUGCACUCGAGUGGCGAACGGGUGAGUAACACGUAGGUAACCUGCCUUACAGUUUGGGAUACCCUGGCGAAAGCUAGGCUAAUACCGAAUAAUUGGAUUGGAGGCAUCUCCGAUCUCUAAAAGGGGCCUUUAAAGCCUCGCUGAAUGAUGGACCUGCGGCGCAUUAGCUAGUUGGUGAGAUAACAGCCCACCAAGGCGAGGAUGCGUAGCCGACCUGAGAGGGUGAACGGCCACACUGGAACUGAGACACGGUCCAGACUCCUACGGGAGGCAGCAGUAGGGAGUUUUCGGCAAUGGGGGCAACCCUGACCGAGCAACGCCGCGUGAAUGAUGAAGGUCUUCGGAUUGUAAAGUUCUGUUAUAAGGGAAAAAUGAUAUGGUGAGGAAAUGCUCCAUAUUUGAUGGUACCUUAUUAGAAAGCCACGGCUAACUACGUGCCAGCCGCCGC
RNAcentral lists this ribosomal RNA (512 nucleotides) under uncultured bacterium. RNAcentral's name for it is "bacterial SSU rRNA". It matches the Rfam family "Bacterial small subunit ribosomal RNA", at positions 11 to 518 of the family's 1533-position model. The record is from RNAcentral.